RNAcentral lists this ribosomal RNA (500 nucleotides) under uncultured bacterium. RNAcentral's name for it is "partial 16S ribosomal RNA". It matches the Rfam family "Bacterial small subunit ribosomal RNA", at positions 29 to 523 of the family's 1533-position model. The record is from RNAcentral.
AUUGAACGCUGGCGGCAUGCCUUACACAUGCAAGUCGAACGGCAGCACGGGUGCUUGCACCUGGUGGCGAGUGGCGAACGGGUGAGUAAUACAUCGGAACGUACCUUAUCGUGGGGGAUAACGCAGCGAAAGCUGUGCUAAUACCGCAUACGCCCUGAGGGGGAAGCCGGGGGAUCGAAAGACCUCCCGCGAUUAGAGCGGCCGAUGCCGGAUAAGCUUGUUGGUGGGGUAAAGCCCACCAAGGGGACGAUCAGUAGCUGGUCUGAGAGGAGGAUCAGCCACACUGGGGCUGAGACACGGCCCAGACUCCUACGGGAGGCAGCAGUGGGGAAUUUUGGACAAUGGGGGCAACCCUGAUCCAGCAAUGCCGCGUGAGUGAAGAAGGCCUUCGGGUUGUAAAGCUCUGUUGUCAGGGAAGAAACACCGGCUCUAACACAGUCCGGGAAUGACGGUACCUGAAGAAUAAGCACCGGCUAACUACGUGCCAGCCGCCGCAGUAA